CCCUUAGAGUUUGAUCCUGGCUCAGGAUGAACGCUGGCGGCGUGCUUAACACAUGCAAGUCGAACGGGAUCCCAGGAGCUUGCUCCUGGGUGAGAGUGGCGAACGGGUGAGUAAUGCGUGACCGACCUGCCCCAUACACCGGAAUAGCUCCUGGAAACGGGUGGUAAUGCCGGAUGCUCCAGUUGACCGCAUGGUCCUCUGGGAAAGCUUUUGCGGUAUGGGAUGGGGUCGCGUCCUAUCAGCUUGAUGGCGGGGUAACGGCCCACCAUGGCUUCGACGGGUAGCCGGCCUGAGAGGGCGACCGGCCACAUUGGGACUGAGAUACGGCCCAGACUCCUACGGGAGGCAGCAGUGGGGAAUAUUGCACAAUGGGCGCAAGCCUGAUGCAGCGACGCCGCGUGCGGGAUGACGGCCUUCGGGUUGUAAACCGCUUUGACUGGGAGCAAGCCCUUCGGGGAGAGUGUACCUUCGAAUAAGCACCGGCUACUCGU
Molecule: ribosomal RNA, 491 nt
Filed under: uncultured bacterium
Lineage: Bacteria
Description: bacterial SSU rRNA
Rfam family: Bacterial small subunit ribosomal RNA
Source: RNAcentral